GGUUCGAUCAUGGCUCAGAUUGAACGCUGGCGGGAUGUUUACACAUGCAAGUCGAACGGCAGCACGGACUUCGGUCUGGUGGCGAGUGGCGAACGGGUGAGCAAUGUAUCGGAACGUGCCUAGUAGCGGGGGAUAGAACUACGCUGAAGCAAAGUAUUAAUACUGCAUACGAAUUCUUCCGGGGGAAAGCGGGGGACCUUCGGGCCUCGCACUAUUAGAGCGGCCGAUAUCGGAUUAGCUAGUUGGUGGGGUAACGGCUCACCAAGGCGACGAUCCGUAGCUGGUUUGAGAGGACGACCAGCCACACUGGGACUGAGACACGGCCCAGACUCCUACGGGAGGCAGCAGUGGGGAAUUUUGGACAAUGGGGGAAACCCCGAUCCAGCCAUCCUGGCGUGUGCGAUGAAGGCCUUCGGGUUGUAAAGCACUUUUGGCAGGAAAGAAAUGGCACGGGAUAAUACCCCGUGCAACUGACUUGCACCUGCAUUGGGCACUGGCUAACUACAGCCAGCAUGCGGUAAUACGUAGGUGCAAGCGUUAAUCGGAAUUACUGGGCGUAAAGCGUGCAGGCGGUUCGGAAAGAAAGAUGAAAUCCCAGAGCUUAACUUUGGAACUGUAUUUUUAACUACCGAGCAGAGCGGUCAGAGGGAGGUGGAAUUCCGCGUAGCAGUGAAAUGCGUAGAUAUGCGAGGAACACCGAUGGCGAAGGCAGCUCUCCUGGGGGAUAACACUGACGCUCAUGCACGAAAGCGUGGGGAGCAAACAGGAUUAGGAUACCCAUAGUCCACGCCCUAAACGAUGUCAACUAGCUGUUGGGGCCUUCGGGCCUUGGUAGCGCAGCUAACGCGUGAAGUUGACCGCCUGGGGAGUACGGUCGCAAGAUUAAAACCUCAGCGGAAUUGACGGGGACCCGCACAAGCAGAUGAUGUGGAUUAAUUCCGAUGCAACGCGAAAAACCUUACCUACCCUUGACAUGUCUGAAUCCUGAAGAGAUUUGGGAGUGCUCGCAAGAGAACCGGAACACAGGUGCUGCAUGGCUGUCGUCAGCUCAAAAUGUGAGAUGUUGGGUUAAGUCCUGCAACGAGCGCAACCCUGUCAUUAGUUGCUACGAAAGGGCAUCCCCAUCGAGACUGCCGGCACAAACCGGAGGAAGGGGAUGACGUCAAGUCCUCAUGGCCCUUAUGGGCAGGGGUCACACGUCAUACAAUGGUCGGGACAGGAGGGCCUCAACCCGCGAGGGGGAGCCAAUCCCAGAAACCCGAUCGUAGUCCGGAUCGCAGUCUGCAACUCGACUGCGUGAAGUCGGAAUCGCUAGUAAUCGCGGAUCAGCAUGUCGCGGUGAAUACGUUCCCGGGUCUUGUACACACUGCCCGUCACACCAUGGGAGUGGGUUUCACCAGAAGUAGUUAGCCUAACCGUAAGGAGGGCGAUUACCACGGUAGGAUUCAUGACUGGGGCAGUCGUAACAAGGUAA
RNAcentral lists this ribosomal RNA (1474 nucleotides) under uncultured Bordetella sp. RNAcentral describes it as "partial 16S-23S ribosomal RNA intergenic spacer". It matches the Rfam family "Bacterial small subunit ribosomal RNA". The record is from RNAcentral. Lineage: Bacteria; Pseudomonadati; Pseudomonadota; Betaproteobacteria; Burkholderiales; Alcaligenaceae.